AUGAAUUGCCUUAGUUGGAACUGCCGGGGAGGGGGGAACACCCGGACAGUUCGUGAGCUAGCGACGUUGUGUAAGUUGCAUUCCCCCAUGUUGGUCUUUUUGUGUGAAACGAGACAAAAGGAAGAGAAGAUGAAACGGAUCCAAGCUAAACUUGGAUUGAAGGGCUUUUGUGGAGUGGAUAGUAAUGGAUUAAGCGGUGACUUGGCGCUAUAUUGGAGGAAAGAAUGUGUUGUUGAUGUUUUGGACAAGGAUGACAGAUUUAUUGACAUUGUUAUCAAAGCCCGAGAAGGUGCACCGGAGUGGAGAGCUACCUUUGUAUAUGGGGAGCCACGGGUGGAAAAUAGACACCUAAUGCGGACUAAGUUACGGAAUCUGAAAGUUGCUAAUAAUUUGCCCUGGCUAGUUAUAGGUGACUUUAAUGAAGCCAUGUGGGAUUUUGAGCAUAGCACAGAUGAUAGCCUUCAGGGAUACCUUGGAGGUGUGUGA
This 486-nucleotide ribosomal RNA is filed under the name Triticum aestivum (bread wheat). Its description in RNAcentral is "partial small subunit ribosomal RNA". The record is from RNAcentral. Lineage: Eukaryota; Viridiplantae; Streptophyta; Magnoliopsida; Poales; Poaceae.